RNAcentral lists this long non-coding RNA (396 nucleotides) under Apteryx owenii (little spotted kiwi). RNAcentral's name for it is "lncRNA (ENSAOWG00000018148.1)". The record is from RNAcentral. Lineage: Eukaryota; Metazoa; Chordata; Aves; Apterygiformes; Apterygidae.
UAAUUAAAAAAAAAUUGAAACAAACUAUCCUCAAAUGAUCCUAAAAUGGAUGAUCUAGGACAGCCUCUUCGGAAGGAGAGAUUUCUUGCCAGACUUAACAGGGGCAGCUUGCUUAUAUCGCCUUUCCUCCAACCUGUGGAACCUGAAGUGUGUGAAGCUUAUUUUCCUGAGGAGUUAGAAAUGGCUAUGGCAACUUCUCCUUGAUGUAUUUCUGCAGAACUCUUUCAUAUGUCAGUCAGGUGGCCGAUGCCCUGACAGUUCAGCCUCAGGCAGUUCUCCCCUCUCAUACUGAUGGGAAAGGCUUGUGUUCCUAUUUAUGCUGGUAUUCAGACAACACAGAAAGUAUAUUUCAGGUAAGUGAUCUUUUCUUUGUAUGCAGAGUGAAGGUAUACUAAU